RNAcentral lists this transfer RNA (71 nucleotides) under Eriachne burkittii. Its description in RNAcentral is "tRNA-Gly". It matches the Rfam family "tRNA". Rfam says of the family: Transfer RNA (tRNA) molecules are approximately 80 nucleotides in length. Their secondary structure includes four short double-helical elements and three loops (D, anti-codon, and T loops). RNAcentral also lists the same sequence under 1 other name. The record is from RNAcentral. Lineage: Eukaryota; Viridiplantae; Streptophyta; Magnoliopsida; Poales; Poaceae.
GCGAGCGUAGUUCAAUGGUAAAACAUCUCCUUGCCAAGGAGAGGAUACGGGUUCGAUUCCCGUCGCUCGCC